Molecule: long non-coding RNA, 1203 nt
Organism: Callorhinus ursinus (northern fur seal)
Lineage: Eukaryota; Metazoa; Chordata; Mammalia; Carnivora; Otariidae
Source: RefSeq, a predicted model, not a curated record
ACAAAUAGUCCUGGGCUUGCUGGGCCGCCAGAACUGGUGUUGGCCUGGAAGCCCACGGCAGCAGGAGGGAGGCUGUACCCAGCAUGCCUGAGAAGUGAUGCCUCCUCUCUGUGGGCUGGGCUGCUCCACAGCACACGAGCCUGGGCACCAGAUGCGGAACCUGGGUAAGGGAAUGACUUGGAGUCAUCUAAAAGAGCUCUGGUCCAAGAAAGUGGACUGCUGGAGUCAGGAAUGCUCAGCAGUAAGAGUUGUGGGAAUUUCCAAGAGCCGAUGUUGAGGAGGGGAGUCCAGCAUGGGUGGAUGAAGGAGUGGCGCCCCGAAGCAGGGAAGCUCAGCAAGGGAGACUGACAAACCAACUCAAGUUCCCAUGAAGGAAAGAAUCUGCUAGAAGCAUCUGUCAAGUCCGGAGACUUUGCCUGCCACAUGUCAUGACUGGAAAAUGAAAAUAAUUCCCAGCCUCCCUUGCAGCUAGCAAUGGCCACAUAACAUAGUCCUUGUCAACAACCACUAUCAGAAGUUUCCUGGAGCCCAGAGGGGUGCCUGGCACCUGGAUACAAGACUUAAUAUACUAUCGUGCUGCUCUCAGAAGCUUGAAGAAAGUGAUGGCCCACACACAGUGAAGUAGAAAUGCCAGAAUUGCCACUGCAGACAGUAAACUUCUCCUCUCUAAGACCAAAAGGCUUAGAAUAGCGGGCAUGAAGAAGCUGGAACACCAUGCAAGGGCAGAAAGCCCACCAGCCUACUGGAGUCCACAGGAAGGCUCAGAGGACACUAUGCUUCCUGAACAGGUAAGGAACAAAUUGGUGAGGGCCGCCAGCCAAGCUGAUGGGUCAGUCUGUUAAAAAACUGGGAUCCUUGAUAGCAAUGGGGAUGAUAAAAUCCUGAAUAAUAGACUCCAGGUGGUGCAAUGUUCUCUAAGAGCAACAGAGUAGAAUAGCUGCCUUGGGGGUGUGGUAUAUAGAGAGCCAUGGAAAUGAGUAAUGGAACGUGGUGUCUGGCAACAAGAGAGAUGGGUUACCAGCAAGAGUAUGGUUCAGUUGAAGCAAGUAAGAGAAAUCAAGGAUAGCUUAUCAGGAGACCGAAGGCACCUGCCUCAAUAAAAAAUCGUAAUUCCCAGGGCGCCUGAGUAGCCCAGUCGGUUAAGUGUCUGCCUUCGGCUCAGGUCAUGAUCCCGGGGUCCUGGGACUGAGUCCUGCAUCGGAG